GAGGGGUAGAAGGAGCUUGCUCCUUUGAGACCGGCGCACGGGUGCGUAACGCGUAUGCAAUCUACCUUUCACAGAGGGAUAGCCCAGAGAAAUUUGGAUUAAUACCUCAUAGUAUAGCAGUUUCGCAUGAAACCACUAUUAAAGUCACAACGGUGAAAGAUGAGCAUGCGUCCCAUUAGCUAGUUGGUAAGGUAACGGCUUACCAAGGCAACGAUGGGUAGGGGUCCUGAGAGGGAGAUCCCCCACACUGGUACUGAGACACGGACCAGACUCCUACGGGAGGCAGCAGUGAGGAAUAUUGGACAAUGGGCGCAAGCCUGAUCCAGCCAUGCCGCGUGCAGGAUGACGGUCCUAUGGAUUGUAAACUGCUUUUGUACAGGAAGAAACACCUCUACGUGUAGAGACUUGACGGUACUGUAAGAAUAAGGAUCGGCUAACUCCGUGCCAGCAGCCGCGGUAAUACGGAGGAUCCAAGCGUUAUCCGGAAUCAUUGGGUUUAAAGGGUCCGUAGGCGGUUUAGUAAGUCAGUGGUGAAAGCCCAUCGCUCAACGGUGGAACGGCCAUUGAUACUGCUAGACUUGAAUUAUUAGGAAGUAACUAGAAUAUGUAGUGUAGCGGUGAAAUGCUUAGAGAUUACAUGGAAUACCAAUUGCGAAGGCAGGUUACUACUAAUUGAUUGACGCUGAUGGACGAAUGCGUGGGUAGCGAACAGGAUUAGAUACCCUGGUAGUCCACGCCGUAAACGAUGGAUACUAGCUGUUGGGCGCAAGUUCAGUGGCUAAGCGAAAGUGAUAAGUAUCCCACCUGGGGAGUACGUUCGCAAGAAUGAAACUCAAAGGAAUUGACGGGGGCCCGCACAAGCGGUGGAGCAUGUGGUUUAAUUCGAUGA
Molecule: ribosomal RNA, 889 nt
Filed under: uncultured bacterium
Lineage: Bacteria
Description: bacterial SSU rRNA
Rfam family: Bacterial small subunit ribosomal RNA
Source: RNAcentral